Molecule: long non-coding RNA, 373 nt
Organism: Monomorium pharaonis (pharaoh ant)
Lineage: Eukaryota; Metazoa; Arthropoda; Insecta; Hymenoptera; Formicidae
Exons: 2
Source: RefSeq, a predicted model, not a curated record
GUGCACAUGGAGACGCUGAUGGAUGAAAACACCUUGAAACGACGCGAUGACCGCUCUCAGGUUCCUCUCUGAUACUAACAUAAAAGGCCACAAGACAGUGCAUAAAGAUUGUUAGAUUGGAUAUGGCAAUUCUAGCUGCUAAGGUUGCGUAAUCUGGAUGCUGGUUGAUCAUAGUUGCCGCAGUUUCAGCUGCCAAAUUAUCCAAUUCGAUAGUUGUUACUCCAGAACGUAAAUUGGUUAUAACCCGAAGCGCGAUCGCAGACUGUAAAAGAAAAAUACAAUGUAUUUUUUCUUAACUGACGAUUUUAUAUGAGUCACAGUUAACCCGACUUUUGAAGGAUACUUAAUUAAAUGCAAAGAUAAGUGAAAAAAA